Molecule: ribosomal RNA, 450 nt
Filed under: uncultured Glomeromycotina
Lineage: Eukaryota; Fungi; Glomeromycota
Description: SSU rRNA
Rfam family: Eukaryotic small subunit ribosomal RNA
Source: RNAcentral
AGCAGCCGCGGUAAUUCCAGCUCCAAUAGCGUAUAUUAAAGUUGUUGCAGUUAAAAAGCUCGUAGUUGAAUUUCGGGAUCAAUUAAUUGGUCGUGCCUAUGGUAUGUACUGAUUUUAUUGGUUUCUCCCUUCUGACGAACCAUGAUGUCAUUAAUUUGGUGUCGUGAAGAAUCAGGACUGUUACUUUAGAAAAAUUAGAGUAGUUUAAAGCAAGCUAACGCUUAGAAUACAUUAGCAUGGAAUAAUGAAAUAGGACGUUUGAUCCUAUUUUGUUGGUUUCUAGGAUCGACGUAAUGAUUAAUAGGGAUAGUUGGGGGCAUUAGUAUUCAAUUGUCAGAGGUGAAAUUCUUGGAUUUAUUGAAGACUAACUACUGCGAAAGCAUUUGCCAAGGAUGUUUUCAUUAAUCAAGAACGAAAGUUAGGGGAUCGAAGACGAUCAGAUACCGUCGU